AAAAAAUUCGUUUUUCUGUCACAGUCUAAUCUUUAUCCCUAAAAAUUGAAUUGAAUUCUAUUGUAACUUUUUCGUUUUUUCAAGGUAUCUUGAUGUAUUAUCUGAAAUGAUAGAGCAAAAACGUGGAAUGAUGGAAAAAAUGAUCGCGAUUCAACAAAAAAAUGUAGAAAAACAAAACGAAGUUACGAGGGAGAUAAAUGAUUUACAACCUCUUCUUAACAUUGUUAUACAACGCACAAAAGAAUUGCGAACUGACAUUGAAAGAGAUAUUUCAAAGAAAUAUCAAUCACGGCCUGUACAGUUGACUGGAAUAAUAAACCAUAUGUAAUAGUUUUCUUCACAGAAUGUAUAUGUAUAAAGUUUAAUAAUAAAAAUUCGGGAAGCACCACAGAUUAUAAAGAUUGAAUUUU
Cotesia glomerata is the source of this 410-nucleotide long non-coding RNA. RefSeq lists it as uncharacterized. NCBI's taxonomy places the organism in Eukaryota, Metazoa, Arthropoda, Insecta, Hymenoptera, Braconidae. The record is from RefSeq and is a predicted model, not a curated record. The transcript is spliced from 2 exons.